GAUGAACGCUAGCGAUAGGCUUAACACAUGCCAGUCGAGGGGCAGCACAAGGUAGCUUGCUCUCUGGGUGGCGACCGGCGCACGGGUGCGUAACGCGUAUGCAACUUGCCCUAUACAGGAGGAUAACCCGUCGAAAGACGGACUAAUACUGCGUAUGCUCACAACUUGGCAUCAAGUGGUGAGGAAAGAAAUUCGGUAUAGGAUAGGCAUGCGUCCCAUUAGCUUGUUGGUGAGGUAACGGCUCACCAAGGCAACGAUGGGUGGGGGAACUGAGAGGUUUAUCCCCCACACUGGUACUGAGACACGGACCAGACUCCUACGGGAGGCAGCAGUGAGGAAUAUUGGUCAAUGGGCGCGAGCCUGAACCAGCCAAGUCGCGUGAAGGAUGACUGUCUUAUGGAUUGUAAACUUCUUUUAUACGGGAAUAACAAGAGUCACGUGUGACUCCCUGCAUGUACCGUAUGAAUAAGCAUCGGCUAACUCCGUG
Molecule: ribosomal RNA, 487 nt
Filed under: uncultured bacterium
Lineage: Bacteria
Description: partial 16S ribosomal RNA
Rfam family: Bacterial small subunit ribosomal RNA
Source: RNAcentral